UACGCACGCUGGCGGCGUGCCUAAUACAUGCAAGUAGAACGCUGAAGGAGGAGCUUGCUUCUCUGGAUGAGUUGCGAACGGGUGAGUAACGCGUAGGUAACCUGCCUGGUAGCGGGGGAUAACUAUUGGAAACGAUAGCUAAUACCGCAUAAUAUUGACUAUUGCAUGAUAGUCAGUUGAAAGGUGCAACUGCACCACUACCAGAUGGACCUGCGUUGUAUUAGCUAGUUGGUGGGGUAACGGCUCACCAAGGCGACGAUACAUAGCCGACCUGAGAGGGUGAUCGGCCACACUGGGACUGAGACACGGCCCAGACUCCUACGGGAGGCAGCAGUAGGGAAUCUUCGGCAAUGGACGGAAGUCUGACCGAGCAACGCCGCGUGAGUGAAGAAGGUUGUCGGAUCGUAAAGCUCUGUUGUAAGAGAAGAACGAGUGUGAGAGUGGAAAGCUCACACUGUGACGGUAUCUUACCAGAAAGGGACGGCUAACUACGUG
This 495-nucleotide ribosomal RNA is filed under the name uncultured bacterium. Its description in RNAcentral is "partial 16S ribosomal RNA". It matches the Rfam family "Bacterial small subunit ribosomal RNA", at positions 29 to 507 of the family's 1533-position model. The record is from RNAcentral.